UACGUAGGGUGCAAGCGUUAUCCGGAAUUAUUGGGCGUAAAGAGCUCGUAGGCGGUUUGUCACGUCUGCUGUGAAAACUGGAGGCUCAACCUCCAGCCUGCAGUGGGUACGGGCAGACUAGAGUGCGGUAGGGGAGAUUGGAAUUCCUGGUGUAGCGGUGGAAUGCGCAGAUAUCAGGAGGAACACCGAUGGCGAAAGGCAGAUCUCUGGGCCGUAACUGGACGCUGAGGCACGACAGCGUGGGGAGCAAACAGG
Molecule: ribosomal RNA, 255 nt
Filed under: uncultured bacterium
Lineage: Bacteria
Description: partial 16S ribosomal RNA
Rfam family: Bacterial small subunit ribosomal RNA
Source: RNAcentral